UUUCUUUUCUUUUCUCUUUUCUUUUCUUUUCUUUUCCCUCCAAUAUCAUAUUUUUAUCAAUAAGGCAUAUAAAGCACCCUCAAAUAAAAGAAAAAGAUCAUGACGAUGAU
This 110-nucleotide non-coding RNA is filed under the name Aureoumbra lagunensis. Lineage: Eukaryota; Pelagophyceae; Sarcinochrysidales; Sarcinochrysidaceae. The record is from RNAcentral.